RNAcentral lists this ribosomal RNA (794 nucleotides) under Xiphinema krugi. RNAcentral's name for it is "eukaryotic LSU rRNA". It matches the Rfam family "Eukaryotic large subunit ribosomal RNA", at positions 342 to 919 of the family's 3401-position model. The record is from RNAcentral. Lineage: Eukaryota; Metazoa; Nematoda; Enoplea; Dorylaimida; Longidoridae.
UCACAAGUACCCGUGAGGGAAAGUUGAAAAGAACUUUGAAGAGAGAGUUCAAAAGGGCGUGAAACCGCUUAGAAUAAAACGGACGGAACCGUCUGUAGCCGUUCGGAAUCAGUCGAGUCGACGCGUAAAGGCGAGCGCGAUGAUAAAACGGAACGCGAGUCCCGUCGUCUCGUCCAGAACGCUCGUUCGAUGCAUUUCCGAACGGUAAGCGCCGCGACCGAUGUCAACGGCUAACGUAUCCGGGCGAUUGAGGUGGAGCGCGUUCGCGCGUCUCAUUACCAGUCGACUCGGACCGGCGUUAGACCGACGCAUCGAGAGAUACUUUUGACUUAACGCCGGCGAAUAUAUAGCGCUCGCCUAUAGGGACGUAAUUAGGGCCGCUCGUCCUGAACUUGCUCGCAGGUUCGGGUUCGAGUCAGGUUCUACGUUACAAGUCCUCGGCGACGUUUCGGCGUUUUGGCGUCCGCGGCGUCCGAGUCGGUCACCCGUCCGACCCGUCUUGAAACACGGACCAAGGAGUCUAACGUAUACGCGAGCUAAUGGGCGGAAAACCCAUAAGCGAAAUAAAAGUAAAAGCCGUUUCGGACGGCCCAGGUACGAUCUCGAAUACGAAACGAUUUAUUCGAGCGCAGUACCGUCCCAUCCUGACCGCUCGUCGGUAGGGUGGAGAAAGAGUGAAUACGUUGGGACCCGAAAGAUGGUGAACUAUGCCUGAGCAGAGCGAAGCCAGAGGAAACUCUGGUGGAGGUUCGUAGCGGUUCUGACGUGCAAAUCGAUCGUCAGACUUGGGUAUA